GACGAACGCUGGCGGCGUGCUUAACACAUGCAAGUCGAACGAAGUGGCGAACGGGUGAGUAACGCGUAGGUAACUGCCUGGUAGCGGGGGAUAACUAUUGGAAACGAUAGCUAAUACCGCAUACUACCAGAUGGACCUGCGUUGUAUUAGCUAGUUGGUGAGGUAACGGCUCACCAAGGCAACGAUACAUAGCCGACCUGAGAGGGUGAUCGGCCACACUGGGACUGAGACACGGCCCAGACUCCUACGGGAGGCAGCAGUAGGGAAUCUUCGGCAAUGGGGGGAACCCUGACCGAGCAACGCCGCGUGAGUGAAGAAGGUUUUCGGAUCGUAAAGCUCUGUUGUUAAGGAAGCGGUACUUAACCAGAAAGGGACGGCUAACUACGUGCCAGCAGCCGCGGUAAUAC
RNAcentral lists this ribosomal RNA (407 nucleotides) under uncultured bacterium. Its description in RNAcentral is "partial 16S ribosomal RNA". It matches the Rfam family "Bacterial small subunit ribosomal RNA", at positions 28 to 526 of the family's 1533-position model. The record is from RNAcentral.